This 495-nucleotide ribosomal RNA is filed under the name uncultured bacterium. RNAcentral's name for it is "partial 16S ribosomal RNA". It matches the Rfam family "Bacterial small subunit ribosomal RNA", at positions 28 to 507 of the family's 1533-position model. The record is from RNAcentral.
GACGAACGCUGGCGGCGUGCCUAAUACAUGCAAGUAGAACGCUGAAGGAGGAGCUCGCUUCUCUGGAUGAGUUGCGAACGGGUGAGUAACGCGUAGGUAACCUGCCUGGUAGCGGGGGAUAACUAUUGGAAACGAUAGCUAAUACCGCAUAAGAGUAGAUGUUGCAUGACAUUUGCUUAAAAGGUGCAAUUGCAUCACUACCAGAUGGACCUGCGUUGUAUUAGCUAGUUGGUGGGGUAACGGCUCACCAAGGCGACGAUACAUAGCCGACCUGAGAGGGUGAUCGGCCACACUGGGACUGAGACACGGCCCAGACUCCUACGGGAGGCAGCAGUAGGGAAUCUUCGGCAAUGGACGGAAGUCUGACCGAGCAACGCCGCGUGAGUGAAGAAGGUUUUCGGAUCGUAAAGCUCUGUUGUAAGAGAAGAACGAGUGUGAGAGUGGAAAGUUCACACUGUGACGGUAUCUUACCAGAAAGGGACGGCUAACUACGUG